This 255-nucleotide ribosomal RNA is filed under the name uncultured bacterium. Its description in RNAcentral is "partial 16S ribosomal RNA". It matches the Rfam family "Bacterial small subunit ribosomal RNA", at positions 524 to 776 of the family's 1533-position model. The record is from RNAcentral.
GACGUAGGGCGCGAGCGUUGUCCGGAUUUAUUGGGCGUAAAGAGCUCGUAGGCGGCUUGUCGCGUCGAAUGUGAAAACCCACGGCUCAACUGUGGGCUUGCAUUCGAUACGGGCAGGCGUAGAGUUCGGUAGGGGAGACGUGGAAUUCCUGGUGUAGCGGUGAAAUGCGCAGAUAUCAGGAGGAACACCGAUGACGAAGGCAGGUCUCUGGGCAUUAACUGACGCUGGAGGAGCGAAAGCUGGGGAGCGAACAGG